This 497-nucleotide ribosomal RNA is filed under the name uncultured bacterium. Its description in RNAcentral is "partial 16S ribosomal RNA". It matches the Rfam family "Bacterial small subunit ribosomal RNA", at positions 28 to 507 of the family's 1533-position model. The record is from RNAcentral.
GAUGAACGCUGGCGGCGUGCCUAAUACAUGCAAGUCGAGCGAACGGACGAGAAGCUUGCUUUUCUGAUGUUAGCGGCGGACGGGUGAGUAACACGUGGAUAACCUACCUAUAAGACUGGGAUAACUUCGGGAAACCGGAGCUAAUACCGGAUAAUAUUUUGAACCGCAUGGUUCAAAAAUGAAAGACGGUCUUGCUGUCACUUAUAGAUGGAUCCGCGCUGCAUUAGCUAGUUGGUAAGGUAACGGCUUACCAAGGCAACGAUGCAUAGCCGACCUGAGAGGGUGAUCGGCCACACUGGAACUGAGACACGGUCCAGACUCCUACGGGAGGCAGCAGUAGGGAAUCUUCCGCAAUGGGCGAAAGCCUGACGGAGCAACGCCGCGUGAGUGAUGAAGGUCUUCGGAUCGUAAAACUCUGUUAUUAGGGAAGAACAUAUGUGUAAGUAACUGUGCACAUCUUGACGGUACCUAAUCAGAAAGCCACGGCUAACUACGUG